GAUGAACGCUGGCGGCGUGCCUAAUACAUGCAAGUCGAGCGAACGGACGAGAAGCUUGCUUCUCUGAUGUUAGCGGCGGACGGGUGAGUAACACGUGGAUAACCUACCUAUAAGACUGGGAUAACUUCGGGAAACCGGAGCUAAUACCGGAUAAUAUUUUGAACCGCAUGGUUCAAAAGUGAAAGACGGUCUUGCUGUCACUUAUAGAUGGAUCCGCGCUGCAUUAGCUAGUUGGUAAGGUAACGGCUUACCAAGGCAACGAUGCAUAGCCGACCUGAGAGGGUGAUCGGCCACACUGGAACUGAGACACGGUCCAGACUCCUACGGGAGGCAGCAGUAGGGAAUCUUCCGCAAUGGGCGAAAGCCUGACGAAGCAACGCCGCGUGAGUGAUGAAGGUCUUCGGAUCGUAAAACUCUGUUAUUAGGGAAGAACAUAUGUGUAAGUAACUGUGCACAUCUUGACGGUACCUAAUCAGAAAGCCACGGCUAACUACGUGC
Molecule: ribosomal RNA, 498 nt
Filed under: uncultured bacterium
Lineage: Bacteria
Description: partial 16S ribosomal RNA
Rfam family: Bacterial small subunit ribosomal RNA
Source: RNAcentral